Molecule: ribosomal RNA, 531 nt
Filed under: Dujonia zeylanoides
Lineage: Eukaryota; Fungi; Ascomycota; Pichiomycetes; Serinales; Debaryomycetaceae
Description: eukaryotic LSU rRNA
Rfam family: Eukaryotic large subunit ribosomal RNA
Source: RNAcentral
AAACCAACAGGGAUUGCCUCAGUAACGGCGAGUGAAGCGGCAAAAGCUCAAAUUUGAAAUCUAGCACUUUCAGUGUUCGAGUUGUAAUUUGAAGAAGGUAACUUUGGUUUUGGCUCUUGUCUAUGUUCCUUGGAACAGGACGUCACAGAGGGUGAGAAUCCCGUGCGAUGAGAUGCCCAAUUCCAUGUAAAGUGCUUUCGAAGAGUCGAGUUGUUUGGGAAUGCAGCUCUAAGUGGGUGGUAAAUUCCAUCUAAAGCUAAAUAUUGGCGAGAGACCGAUAGCGAACAAGUACAGUGAUGGAAAGAUGAAAAGAACUUUGAAAAGAGAGUGAAAAAGUACGUGAAAUUGUUGAAAGGGAAGGGCUUGAGAUCAGACUUGGUAUUUUGCGUUCCCUUCCUUUUUGGUUGGGUUCCUCGCAGUUUACUGGGCCAGCAUCGGUUUGGAUGGUAGGAUAAUGACAUUGGAAUGUAGCUUUACUUCGGUGAAGUGUUAUAGACUUUGUUGAUACUGCCUAUCUAGACCGAGGACUGC